GAAUAUUGGACAAUGGGCGAAAGCCUGAUCCAGCCAUGCCGCGUGUGUGAAGAAGGCCUUUUGGUUGUAAAGCACUUUAAGCGAGGAGGAGGCUACCGAGAUUAAUACUCUUGGAUAGUGGACGUUACUCGCAGAAUAAGCACCGUCUAACUCUUUGCCAGCAGCCGCGGUAAUACAGAGGGUGCAAGCGUUAAUCGGAUUUACUGGGCGUAAAGCGCGCGUAGGUGGCAAAUUAAGUCAAAUGUGAAAUCCCCGAGCUUAACUUGGGAAUUGCAUUCGAUACUGGUUGGCUAGAGUAUGGGAGAGGAUGGUAGAAUUCCAGGUGUAGCGGUGAAAUGCGUAGAGAUCUGGAGGAAUACCGAUGGCGAAGGCAGCCAUCUGGCCUAAUACUGACACUGAGGUGCGAAAGCAUGGGGAGCAAACAG
RNAcentral lists this ribosomal RNA (425 nucleotides) under uncultured bacterium. Its description in RNAcentral is "bacterial SSU rRNA". It matches the Rfam family "Bacterial small subunit ribosomal RNA", at positions 359 to 775 of the family's 1533-position model. The record is from RNAcentral.